UACGGGGGGGGCAAGCGUUGUUCGGAAUUACUGGGCGUAAAGAGCUCGUAGGCGGCUUGUCACGUCGGGUGUGAAAGCCCGGGGCUUAACCCCGGGUCUGCAUUCGAUACGGGCAGGCUAGAGUGUGGUAGGGGAGAUCGGAAUUCCUGGUGUAGCGGUGAAAUGCGCAGAUAUCAGGAGGAACACCGGUGGCGAAGGCGGUUCUCUGGGCCUUACCUGACGCUGAGGAGCGAAAGCGUGGGGAGCGAACAGG
This 253-nucleotide ribosomal RNA is filed under the name uncultured bacterium. RNAcentral's name for it is "partial 16S ribosomal RNA". It matches the Rfam family "Bacterial small subunit ribosomal RNA", at positions 524 to 776 of the family's 1533-position model. The record is from RNAcentral.